UCGGACGUGGUGCACGGUGCACGCCUGUCGUAAUCUACGUGUAUUUUUCAUAGUCUAGAUGACAGGAAGCUCGGGUUCGAUUCCCGGCGUUGGAA
This is a non-coding RNA of Mycena crocata, 95 nucleotides long. The record is from the annotation of a GenBank genome assembly. Lineage: Eukaryota; Fungi; Basidiomycota; Agaricomycetes; Agaricales; Mycenaceae.